GAUGAACGCUGGCGGCGUGCCUAAUACAUGCAAGUCGAGCGAACGGACGAGAAGCUUGCUUCUCUGAUGUUAGCGGCGGACGGGUGAGUAACACGUGGAUAACCUACCUAUAAGACUGGGAUAACUUCGGGAAACCGGAGCUAAUACCGGAUAAUAUUUUGAACCGCAUGGUUCAAAAGUGAAAGACGGUCUUGCUGUCACUUAUAGAUGGAUCCGCGCUGCAUUAGCUAGUUGGUAAGGUAACGGCUUACCAAGGCAACGAUGCAUAGCCGACCUGAGAGGGUGAUCGGCCACACUGGAACUGAGACACGGUCCAGACUCCUACGGGAGGCAGCAGUAGGGAAUCUUCCGCAAUGGGCGAAAGCCUGACGGAGCAACGCCGCGUGAGUGAUGAAGGUCUUCGGAUCGUAAAACUCUGUUAUUAGGGAAGAACAUAUGUGUAAGUAACUGUGCACAUCUUGACGGUACCUAAUCAGAAAGCCACGGCUAACUACGUGCCAGCAGCCGCGGUAAUACGUAGGUGGCAAGCGUUAUCCGGAAUUAUUGGGCGUAAAGCGCGCGUAGGCGGUUUUUUAAGUCUGAUGUGAAAGCCCACGGCUCAACCGUGGAGGGUCAUUGGAAACUGGAAAACUUGAGUGCAGAAGAGGAAAGUGGAAUUCCGUGUGUAGCGGUGAAAUGCGCAGAGAUAUGGAAGAACCCCUGUGGCGAGGGCGACUUUCGGGUCUGUAACUGACUCUGAUGUGCGAAAGCGUGGGGAUCAAACAGGAUUAGAUACCCUGGUAGUCCCCGCCGUAAACGAUGAGUGCUAAGUGUUAGGGGGUUUCCGCCCCUUAGUGCUGCAGCUAACGCAUUAAGCACUCCGCCUGGGGAGUACGACCGCAAGGUUGAAACUCAAAGGAAUUGACGGGGACCCGCACAAGCGGUGGAGCAUGUGGUUUAAUUCGAAGCAACGCGAAGAACCUUACCAAAUCUUGGCAUCCCUUGACAACUCUAGAGAUAGAGCCUUCCCCUUCGGGGGACAAAGUGACAGGUGGUGCAUGGUUGUCGUCAGCUCGUGUCGUGAGAUGUUGGGUUAAGUCCCGCAACGAGCGCAACCCUUAAGCUUAGUUGCCAUCAUUAAGUUGGGCACUCUAAGUUGACUGCCGGUGACAAACCGGAGGAAGGUGGGGAUGACGUCAAAUCAUCAUGCCCCUUAUGAUUUGGGCUACACACGUGCUACAAUGGACAAUACAAAGGGCAGCGAAACCGCGAGGUCAAGCAAAUCCCAUAAAGUUGUUCUCAGUUCGGAUUGUAGUCUGCAACUCGACUACAUGAAGCUGGAAUCGCUAGUAAUCGUAGAUCAGCAUGCUACGGUGAAUACGUUCCCGGGUCU
RNAcentral lists this ribosomal RNA (1372 nucleotides) under uncultured bacterium. Its description in RNAcentral is "bacterial SSU rRNA". It matches the Rfam family "Bacterial small subunit ribosomal RNA", at positions 28 to 1381 of the family's 1533-position model. The record is from RNAcentral.